Molecule: ribosomal RNA, 980 nt
Filed under: human gut metagenome
Description: bacterial LSU rRNA
Rfam family: Bacterial large subunit ribosomal RNA
Source: RNAcentral
CCUAAGGUAGCGAAAUUCCUUGUCGGGUAAGUUCCGACCUGCACGAAUGGCGUAACGACUUCCCCACUGUCUCGACCAGGAGCUCGGCGAAAUUGCAGUACGAGUAAAGAUGCUCGUUAAGCGCAGAAGGACGAAAAGACCCCGGGACCUUUACUAUACCUUGGUAUUGGCGUUAGGCGCGGAUUGUGUAGCAUAGGCGGGAGGCUUCGAAGCAUGGGCGCCAGCCCGUGUGGAGCCGCAAGGUGAAAUACCGCUCUGUUCUCGUUUGACGUCUAACCUCGAACAGUCAUCCUGUUCAGGGACAGUGCCUGGCGGGUAGUUUAACUGGGGCGGUUGCCUCCCAAAGAGUAACGGAGGCGCUCAAAGGUCCGCUCAGCCCGGUUGGCAAUCGGGUUUCGAGUGUAAUCGCACAAGCGGGCUUGACUGCGAGAACGACGGUUCGGGCAGGGACGAAAGUCGGAGAUAGUGAUCCGGUGCCGGCGCACGGGCGCGGCAUCGCUCAACGGAUAAAAGGUACCCCGGGGAUAACAGGCUGAUCAUUCCCAAGAGUCCAUAUCGACGGGAUGGUUUGGCACCUCGAUGUCGGCUCGUCGCAUCCUGGGGCUGGAGCAGGUCCCAAGGGUUCGGCUGUUCGCCGAUUAAAGCGGCACGCGAGCUGGGUUCAGAACGUCGUGAGACAGUUUGGUCUCUAUCCUCUGCGCUCGUUGGAAUCCUGAGGAGGCCUGCCCAUAGUACGAGAGGACCUGGGUGGACGGACCUCUGGUAUGCCGGUUGUCGCGCCAGCGGCAUGGCCGGUUGGCUACGUUCGGGAGGGAUAACCGCUGAAAGCAUCUAAGCGGGAAGCCUGCUCCAAGAUUAGGAUUCCUUGACGCUCCCCGGAGCGCCUGUAGCCCGCAUGUUGAACACGUGUUCGAUAGGCCGGAGGUGGAAGUCCCGCGAGGGGUGGAGCCGACCGGUACUAACGGGCGAACGCGGCACAC